UGAUCCACUUGGACUUGAGGUUUGUACA
Molecule: non-coding RNA, 28 nt
Filed under: Mus musculus (house mouse)
Lineage: Eukaryota; Metazoa; Chordata; Mammalia; Rodentia; Muridae
Source: RNAcentral